Long non-coding RNA from Etheostoma spectabile (orangethroat darter), 111 nucleotides. RefSeq lists it as uncharacterized. The record is from RefSeq and is a predicted model, not a curated record. NCBI's taxonomy places the organism in Eukaryota, Metazoa, Chordata, Actinopteri, Perciformes, Percidae. The transcript has 3 exons.
CUGUACAAUGAGAAACUAUCUCAGAGCUGACCGGGCAAAGACACCAGUUUUCAUCAGACUCAUCCUGGGUUUGGUUAAUUCUACUGCUAUCUUAUAACACUAAUAACAUUA